This 549-nucleotide small RNA is filed under the name Pan troglodytes (chimpanzee). RNAcentral describes it as "processed transcript". The record is from RNAcentral. Lineage: Eukaryota; Metazoa; Chordata; Mammalia; Primates; Hominidae.
ACCCGGACUGGCGGCUUCGCUGGCGCAAGGUCGGUCCGGCGGCCAGGGACCUGGAAGGCUGCGAGGCCCUGCGAAGUCGAGGUUCGGAGUUUGCUGGUCCCAGGCCCGGCCCGAGGUUACCUGGGCUUGUAUGUGUUCUAUGUGGUCACUGUGAUUCUCUGCACCUGGAUCUACCGACGGCAACGGAGAGGAUCUCUGUUCUGCCCCAUGCCAGUUACUCCAGAGAUCCUCUCAGACUCCGAGGAGGACCGGGUAUCUUCUAAUACCAACAGCUAUGACUACGGUGACGAGUACCGGCCGCUGUUCUUCUACCAGGAGACCACGGCUCAGAUCCUGGUCCGGGCCCUCAAUCCCCUGGAUUACAUGAAGUGGAGAAGGAAAUCAGCAUACUGGAAAGCCCUCAAGGUGUUCAAGCUGCCUGUGGAGUUCCUGCUGCUCCUCACAGUCCCUGUCGUGGACCCGGACAAGGAUGACCGGAACUGGAAACGGCCCCUCAACUGUCUGCAUCUGGUUAUCAGCCCCCUGGUUGUGGUCCUGACCCUGCAGUCG